UUUUUUCUAUCUGAUACACUGGGCCCGAAUGGUCUAGUACAGACUAUCCCUACUUGACAGAAUGUAGUCAUACAACUGGAACCAGCCCUAUCAGAAUGCAACCCAGUAAAAGCAGAAGUAAUUAGGUGGCAAUUAGCGAACACUAUUAAGAACUUUAAUACCUCGGAACUCCAUUCUCUAUAUACCAAAAUAAGAGCAGUUAAGAACUGGAUGGAUUCCAAUGGCAUAGUCUGUGCCCAUAAUGAUAAAUCGAAAAUGAUGGCCAUUCUCAAGAAGAAUAGAUACGAUGCAUAUUUAUAUGCCUUUAUAGAAGAAAGUGCAUGCCAUGAGUUGCCUUACGAUCCGACGGAAAAACUAGAUAAGGAAGUACACACCAUUCUAAGAAAUAAUAAAUUGCCCUCCUUUUUGAGAACAGCAUAUGUAAAGUCACCGGCAUUCCCUAGACUUUUCGCCUUCAUCAAGCGUCAUAAACAACCAGUGGAGCCAGACCCGUAGUGGAGAGAACAUUUGC
RNAcentral lists this long non-coding RNA (511 nucleotides) under Androctonus crassicauda. The record is from RNAcentral. Lineage: Eukaryota; Metazoa; Arthropoda; Arachnida; Scorpiones; Buthidae.